This 291-nucleotide long non-coding RNA is filed under the name Sander lucioperca (pikeperch). RNAcentral's name for it is "lncRNA (ENSSLUG00000025053.1)". Lineage: Eukaryota; Metazoa; Chordata; Actinopteri; Perciformes; Percidae. The record is from RNAcentral.
AUGCAGCAUUCUGCCGGCUCUCAGCAUUUAGACAGCUUUGUGACACAGCGCCUGGAAGAGAGACUGAGAGCAGCCAGAUCUAAAGGUGCGAGCCUCCAGCAGCAGGAGGCCUCUCUCGAGCCAGCCAGUCGCCUGCAGAGCCUCAGAGACAGAGACACUGUAACAAGGUUUGACAAGAUAGAUCCGGACAGAGCUGGAAGACACGAGGACCCUCUGGCCCUCAGGACCAGGGUCACGUUCCGAGAAGCAGCCAGACGAGUAAGGCUGGAGACAAGAUUGCGAUCAUUUUAA